RNAcentral lists this ribosomal RNA (756 nucleotides) under uncultured Sebacina. Its description in RNAcentral is "partial 28S ribosomal RNA". It matches the Rfam family "Eukaryotic large subunit ribosomal RNA", at positions 216 to 962 of the family's 3401-position model. The record is from RNAcentral. Lineage: Eukaryota; Fungi; Basidiomycota; Agaricomycetes; Sebacinales; Sebacinaceae.
GAAUCCCGUAUGUGGCACGGACUCCCGUUACUCUGUGAUACACUCUCAACGAGUCGAGUUGUUUGGGAAUGCAGCUCCAAAUGGGUGGUAAAUGCCAUCUAAAGCUAAAUAUUGGCGAGAGACCGAUAGCAAACAAGUACCGUGAGGGAAAGAUGAAAAGCACUUUGGAAAGAGAGUGAAACAGUACGUGAAAUUGUUGAAAGGGAAACGCUUGAAGUCAGUCGUGCCCUUUGGGAUUCAGCCUUGCUUCUGCUUGGUUUACUUCUCUUUGGGUGGGUCAACAUCAGUUUGGGUCGGAGGAGAAAGACUUGGGGAAGGUGGCAGCAUUCGUGCUGUGUUAUAGCCCCUUGUUGUAUACUUCGAUUUGGACUGAGGACCGCAGCACGCCUUUGGCCGGGGCUCGCCCACGUACGUGCUUAGGAUGUUGGCAUAAUGGCUUUAAGCGACCCGUCUUGAAACACGGACCAAGGAGUCUAACAUGUGCGCGAGUGUUUGAGUGUUAAACUCAGACGCGAAAUGAAAGUGAAAGGUUGGGAACACUUAUGUGUGCACCGACGCCCGGAGCUGACCUUCUGUGACGCAUCUGCGGUAGAGCGUAUAUGUUGGGACCCGAAAGAUGGUGAACUAUGCCUGAAUAGGGUGAAGCCAGAGGAAACUCUGGUGGAGGCUCGUAGCGAUUCUGACGUGCAAAUCGAUCGUCAAAUUUGGGUAUAGGGGCGAAAGACUAAUCGAACCAUCUAGUAGCUGGUUCCUGCC